CUUGGCAAAAAAAAUUAAUAUUAAAACUGCAGAAGACUCCAAAAGAGAUAAAAUGCGAGAAGCCAUGAAAUGGUAGGCCCCAAAACACCUACAGUGAAACAUUCCAUAUAUAUAUCUGGAAAGCAUAUGUAAAAAUACAAUUCUCAACGUAUUGAGAAGGCAUGUUUUAAGACUGUAGAUGU
Molecule: long non-coding RNA, 182 nt
Organism: Perognathus longimembris pacificus (Pacific pocket mouse)
Lineage: Eukaryota; Metazoa; Chordata; Mammalia; Rodentia; Heteromyidae
Exons: 3
Source: RefSeq, a predicted model, not a curated record